GUUGUGAGUCUAACAUUUGGAAAGUGUUGUGAUCAGUUCUGCGAACGCGUUUCUCACUUGGUAAAACUUGUAAUGAAGAUCUGCAUAUUUUAAGAUUAAACUAAGUUCUGUUAAAAAAAUAAUUUUUAAAGUUCAUGAAUAAACCAGUUUUUUAUUAUCAGUUAUAGUUUCUUUUUUAAUUCCUGAUUAUUAGACUUAAUUAAUAGGCUGAUGUAUAUACGUAGUUAAUGGCUGAAUCACGUCCUACGGAAACGGUACAUGAAACAGUGACUGUCGAACAGUUUGUUGAUGACAAGCACAAUGAAGAUGAGGGUCAGGUGGUCAGACUUAAACUUAAGAAACCCAAGCCGGACAAAAAGGUGUCGUGGAGAAGUGAUACAGUGGACAAUGAGCAUUUAAACAAAAAGAAGUCUAAAUGCUGCUGUAUUUAUAAAAAGCCACAAAAAUUUGGGGAGAGUUCUUCAGAAUCUGAUGAUGAUGAAUGCCAGCAUUGCAGGGGACAUGUAGAAUUAAAGAAGAAACAAGUUCCAACAUCCUCAGGAACAGAAGCAACCAUCAGUCCAUCCCAAAUCCAUAAUUGCUGCUCAACCCUAGGCUAUCUAACUAUCACGUUAUUAUGAGUUGUGACUGCACUGUUACAUUUUGUAGAAGCAUACCAGGCAAUCCUCAGAAGGGUCAGAUCAGAAAUCAUGAAGAAGCAACAUAAAUACUACAUUACAUGUAAACAUCUGUAACAUUUGUUAUUUGUAGAAAUAUAUUCAAGAUUAAGAAUAUUAAGUAGUAGACUACCUCUAUACUGGCAAAUUUAUAGCACAGCUGUUACUCGUUGGGUAACUUGUAAUUAAGAUAGCUUUUGUUGUAAUCCGGGCAAGAAGUGACUUUUCUGAAUUAUCUCAUCUCAAUGUAAUAUUUGUAUACUAGUAACAGAUCACUCAUGUAUUCAUAGAUAGAGGGUACUUUCUAUAUCAGCUUAUUUAAAAAUAGCUUUCGGUUAUGGUAUUAUUCUUCCAGAAGUAGAUAUUACAACUUUUAAAAAGUUGUAUUAUUACUAUAUUUGUUCCUUAUGAGAACCAUAAUUGUAAAUUAUAUGUGUAGUUUUUUAAUAAUAAUUAAAAUUGUGAAAAAGAUUUUUUUUGAAUUUUUAUUUAAAUAACAAUUUGCAAUAUAUCAGGAUUAUUAUUGUAAACCAAAACUAUCUGAAUAUAUGCAAACAGAUUGACUGUGUGUCAGUUGUAAUGAAUAAUUGUUUUUUUUUCUUUAUUUUUAUCACCCACACUAUCAGUUUAAGUUACUAUUCUUUUAUUGUAUCAUAAUUUCGAAAGAAUAAGUAUUUUGUACUUAACACUAUUAUUUUCCCUCUAUUAAUCAAAUGUAAUUCUUGAUGUAUUUCCAGUACUUGGUAUCUUUAUGCCUAAAUACGUGGAAGUUUAUUUUAUUAAAAAAGUCUAUAUUUACCCAUUGGUUUAUUUCUGUGAAUUUUUAAUAUGAAUUUCAGACCUUUAAAGCUGUAUGGGUGAGAACUAACAUUGCUCAAAACUGCAAAUUCACAACCGAUCAUAAUUUGGGUUAUCUUAGCUAGUGUGACUGUAUACAUUUUGAUUUCACAAAAGUGUUUAAUUAGAAAAAUGAUUUGUUUUGUAUUCACCUAGUCAGUAUUAUUGUAAGAAUUGCAGGACUAAUAAAUCAUGUAGGAUUAAUAAAUACAUAAAACAAGCGACUCAUACUCUGACUAUUUUUGAAAUGUAAGCCUUCGUUAAUAAGGAUAAACACCUCCGAUUUCAAAUCCAUUUGGUUUACAUGAUUUUUAUCGCAAAUGUUAGGUCUAUUGGUAGACCUUCCUUCUGGUAGUAAAUUAGUAUUUAUUGUCAUGUAA
Limulus polyphemus (Atlantic horseshoe crab) is the source of this 1873-nucleotide RNA transcript. It is a transcript of the gene named protein phosphatase 1 regulatory subunit 11-like, with no coding region annotated. Lineage: Eukaryota; Metazoa; Arthropoda; Merostomata; Xiphosura; Limulidae. The record is from RefSeq and is a predicted model, not a curated record. The transcript is spliced from 5 exons.